RNAcentral lists this ribosomal RNA (245 nucleotides) under uncultured bacterium. Its description in RNAcentral is "partial 16S ribosomal RNA". It matches the Rfam family "Bacterial small subunit ribosomal RNA", at positions 524 to 767 of the family's 1533-position model. The record is from RNAcentral.
UACGAAGGGUGCAAGCGUUACUCGGAAUUACUGGGCGUAAAGCGCACGUAGGCGGUUCGUUAAGUCGGAUGUGAAAGCCCUCGGCUCAACUGAGGAAGUGCACCCGAAACUGGCGAGCUUGAGUACGAAAGAGGAUCGCGGAAUUCCCGGUGUAGAGGUGAAAUUCGUAGAUAUCGGGAGGAACACCGGUGGCGAAGGCGGCGAUCUGGGUCGAUACUGACGCGUGAGGUGCGAAAGCGUGGGGA